CCGUGCUAGGCGGGGAGCUAGCGGUGCCCUGUACCCGCAAUCCGCUUUAGCGGGGCUGAACUCCCCCCGGAGGCUCAGCUCCAGGCCUCUAUCGCCGGGACCGGCGUUGAGAGCUGGGCCCUGCGCGGCGGAAACCCGCCAAACCCGUCAGGUCCGGAAGGAAGCAGCGGUCAGCGGGCCUUUCCGAGCGCCGCAGGCCCGCCUGGCUUGAGCCCUACCGGCCGACACGCCUUGGAGUCAUAGUCGAAGGGGGGUGCACGG
Molecule: signal recognition particle RNA, 261 nt
Filed under: Chloroflexota bacterium
Lineage: Bacteria; Bacillati; Chloroflexota
Description: Chloroflexi bacterium (groundwater metagenome) signal recognition particle sRNA large type
Rfam family: Bacterial large signal recognition particle RNA
About the family: The signal recognition particle (SRP) is a universally conserved ribonucleoprotein involved in the co-translational targeting of proteins to membranes. Archaeal SRP consists of a 7S RNA and homologues of the eukaryotic SRP19 and SRP54 proteins. In most bacteria, the SRP consists of a 4.5S RNA and the Ffh protein (a homologue of the eukaryotic SRP54 protein).
Source: RNAcentral